RNAcentral lists this long non-coding RNA (218 nucleotides) under Lathyrus oleraceus (garden pea). RNAcentral's name for it is "Pisum sativum (pea) long non-coding RNA (PSAT_LNC011623)". The record is from RNAcentral. Lineage: Eukaryota; Viridiplantae; Streptophyta; Magnoliopsida; Fabales; Fabaceae.
AUCAGUCUAAGCUAGUAGUAUGAUGGGUUGUUCCUUAGUCCUUUAUGAAGGCUUUCUUAGGAACUAUCAUUUUAAUGACGAUUCUGAUAGUGCUCUUGGCUAAGUGUUCUUCGUUCAUCAAUUAGAAUUUGGUUUUCCCAUUUUGUGUACUUCUAGACCUUAGGUUUUUCACUUUAAUUUUUCUUUUUCAAACCAUUUUGUGUACUUCUAGACUUUCA